CCUACGGGCGGCAGCAGUGAGGAAUAUUGGUCAAUGGCCGUAAGGCUGAACCAGCCAAGUAGCGUGAGGGAAGACUGCCCUAUGGGUUGUAAACCUCUUUUAUGCGGGGAUAAAGGUGUCCACGUGUGGAAGUUUGCAGGUACCGCAUGAAUAAGGACCGGCUAAUUCCGUGCCAGCAGCCGCGGUAAUACGGAAGGUCCGGGCGUUAUCCGGAUUUAUUGGGUUUAAAGGGAGCGUAGGCCGGUCUUUAAGCGUGCCGUGAAAUUUUGUGGCUCAACCAUGGGAGUGCGGCGCGAACUGGAGACCGUGAGUGCGCGGAAGGUAGGCGGAAUUCGUGGUGUAGCGGUGAAAUGCGUAGAUAUCACGAAGAACCCCGAUUGCGAAGGCAGCCUGCCGCAGCGUUACUGACGCUGAAGCUCGAAAGCGCGGGUAUCGAACAGGAUUAGAUACCCGAGUAGUC
Molecule: ribosomal RNA, 460 nt
Filed under: uncultured bacterium
Lineage: Bacteria
Description: partial 16S ribosomal RNA
Rfam family: Bacterial small subunit ribosomal RNA
Source: RNAcentral